Anopheles arabiensis is the source of this 778-nucleotide long non-coding RNA. RefSeq lists it as uncharacterized. Lineage: Eukaryota; Metazoa; Arthropoda; Insecta; Diptera; Culicidae. The transcript is spliced from 3 exons. The record is from RefSeq and is a predicted model, not a curated record.
AACGGUUGGUCUGUUGGAUUUUACUUGGACACGGUUGGAGCAAAACUUUAACCCCGAUCGGCAGUGAAGUCCUUUCAGCGUGGCAGCAGGAAAGGAAAGGAUGAAAAGCGCAACAAAGUAAUCCGUUGGCAAAACAAAGUUCACAUUGGAAGGAGGCGGUUUUGACAGGGUUGUGAGUGGGUCCGUGCUUGCCGAGCCGUUGACGUUGAGCUGUCAUUACCGAUUUCUUUUGAUUUAUAGCGGUGCAAGGAGGUGGAAAACAAAACAAAAAAAAAAAAGGUCUCAGAGCGGCAAAGCGAGAAGUAGGUCAGAUGGAAGGGAAAAGUCAGCAUGUUUCUGUUUUCAUCUGUUUCAGUUCCGGAAGGGCGCAUCUACAGGUGAGGCGACAUCUGACGUAAUACAGACACAUUUUAAAGCUCAUCCUCACACCUGGCAGGAAGACAACGCUUCCGAUGCGCUGUCUCGGUCCCAAGAUAAAUUAACGUUGAAUUUUGAUGCAGCAGCAGCAGCAGCCGACUUGGAUGACUCUAGCGCAGAUGUGGAACUUUAAUGCUGCUGCAGAGAGCGUUUACCGCAGCCGGAAGUUGCUCCCCCCCACUCAAACGACGCAGGUAUCGGUUUACCUUGUUCGCGUGCUUGUAAUCUCAGCGGAGCAAUGAAUUGAAAUUUGCACAAUAGCUCAUCGGUAGUGCACCGUACCAUCGUGUUGCGUGCUGCAUUUUCGACCUCACAGGUGGAAGCAAUCCACUCCGCGCCCUCCUGGCACCGGGGCAGCGAA